RNAcentral lists this ribosomal RNA (377 nucleotides) under uncultured bacterium. Its description in RNAcentral is "bacterial SSU rRNA". It matches the Rfam family "Bacterial small subunit ribosomal RNA", at positions 521 to 896 of the family's 1533-position model. The record is from RNAcentral.
UAAUACAGAGGGUGCGAGCGUUGUUCGGAAUUAUUGGGCGUAAAGCGCUUGUAGGCGGCUUGUUAAGUCCUGUGUGAAAGCCCUAGGCUUAACCUAGGAAGUGCGCAGGAAACUGGCGAGCUUGAGUGCUGGAGAGGGUCGCGGAAUUCCCGGUGUAGAGGUGAAAUUCGUAGAUAUCGGGAGGAACACCAGUGGCGAAGGCGGCGACCUGGACAGACACUGACGCUGAGACGCGAAAGCGUGGGGAGCAAACAGGAUUAGAUACCCUGGUAGUCCACGCUGUAAACGAUGGGUGCUAGGUGUGGCGGGUUUUGACCCCUGCCGUGCCGCAGCUAACGCAAUAAGCACCCCGCCUGGGAAGUACGGCCGCAAGGCUA